This 253-nucleotide ribosomal RNA is filed under the name uncultured bacterium. Its description in RNAcentral is "partial 16S ribosomal RNA". It matches the Rfam family "Bacterial small subunit ribosomal RNA", at positions 524 to 776 of the family's 1533-position model. The record is from RNAcentral.
UACGGAGGGUGCAAGCGUUAUCCGGAAUUACUGGGUUUAAAGGGUGCGUAGGCGGCUAGAUAAGUCAGGGGUGAAAGUCUGUCGCUUAACGAUAGAACUGCCUUUGAUACUGUAAAGCUUGAAAGGGGGUGAGGUCAGCGGAAUGUGGCAUGUAGCGGUGAAAUGCAUAGAUAUGUCAUAGAACACCGAUUGCGAAGGCAGCCGGCUAGGCUUACUUUGACGCUGAGGCACGAAAGCGUGGGUAGCGAACAGG